GAUGAACGCUGGCGGCGUGCCUAAUACAUGCAAGUCGAGCGAACAGACGAGGAGCUUGCUCCUCUGACGUUAGCGGCGGACGGGUGAGUAACACGUGGAUAACCUACCUAUAAGACUGGGAUAACUUCGGGAAACCGGAGCUAAUACCGGAUAAUAUAUUGAACCGCAUGGUUCAAUAGUGAAAGACGGUUUUGCUGUCACUUAUAGAUGGAUCCGCGCCGCAUUAGCUAGUUGGUAAGGUAACGGCUUACCAAGGCGACGAUGCGUAGCCGACCUGAGAGGGUGAUCGGCCACACUGGAACUGAGACACGGUCCAGACUCCUACGGGAGGCAGCAGUAGGGAAUCUUCCGCAAUGGGCGAAAGCCUGACGGAGCAACGCCGCGUGAGUGAUGAAGGUCUUCGGAUCGUAAAACGCUGUUAUUAGGGAAGAACAAAUGUGUAAGUAACUAUGCACGUCUUGACGGUACCUAAGCAGAAAGCCACGGCUAACUACGU
This 496-nucleotide ribosomal RNA is filed under the name uncultured bacterium. RNAcentral describes it as "partial 16S ribosomal RNA". It matches the Rfam family "Bacterial small subunit ribosomal RNA", at positions 28 to 506 of the family's 1533-position model. The record is from RNAcentral.